This is a long non-coding RNA of Sapajus apella (tufted capuchin), 488 nucleotides long. RefSeq lists it as uncharacterized. The record is from RefSeq and is a predicted model, not a curated record. NCBI's taxonomy places the organism in Eukaryota, Metazoa, Chordata, Mammalia, Primates, Cebidae. The transcript is spliced from 2 exons.
CUCACUAUGUUGCCCAGGCUGGUCUUGAACCCCUGGGUUGAAGUGAUCGACCCACCUCAGCCUCUAAAAGGGCUGGGAUUACAGGUGUGUAAUCCCACUGAGCCACCACUUAGAAAGCAUGACACUAGCUUAUGCUUUCUAAUACAUGAAAUUAAGCCACAUUUAGAAGUAAAAUCACAGCUUAAAAAAAUAAGUAGGUAAUCAUUAGAUUGUGAUUCAAGUGAUAAAGGCUGUGAGUAAAGUCAGGCUUCCAUGGCAAACAGUAUUCUACAAUAAAUAUUUCCACAAAUGUGGUUUUAUCAGAUAUUUUUAUUUUCACGUUUACAUUCAACAGCUCGUAGAAUUGUUAAAAACAGCACUUUUGGGCCGGCUCACACCUGUAGCUGCAGCACUUUGAGAGGCUGAGGCGGGCGAAUCACUUGAGGUCACGAGUUUGAGAUCAGCCUGACCAACAUGGUCAAACCCCAUCUCUACCCAAAAAAAAAAAA